This 298-nucleotide ribosomal RNA is filed under the name Klebsiella pneumoniae. RNAcentral's name for it is "partial 16S ribosomal RNA". It matches the Rfam family "Bacterial small subunit ribosomal RNA", at positions 46 to 342 of the family's 1533-position model. The record is from RNAcentral. Lineage: Bacteria; Pseudomonadati; Pseudomonadota; Gammaproteobacteria; Enterobacterales; Enterobacteriaceae.
GCCUAACACAUGCAAGUCGAGCGGUAGCACAGAGAGCUUGCUCUCGGGUGACGAGCGGCGGACGGGUGAGUUAUGUCUGGGAAACUGCCUGAUGGAGGGGGAUAACUACUGGAAACGGUAGCUAAUACCGCAUAAUGUCGCAAGACCAAAGUGGGGGACCUUCGGGCCUCAUGCCAUCAGAUGUGCCCAGAUGGGAUUAGCUUGUAGGUGGGGUAACGGCUCACCUAGGCGACGAUCCCUAGCUGGUCUGAGAGGAUGACCAGCCACACUGGAACUGAGACACGGUCCAGACUCCUAC